This is a non-coding RNA of Elusimicrobia bacterium GWB2_63_22, 160 nucleotides long. The record is from Rfam. Lineage: Bacteria; Pseudomonadati; Elusimicrobiota.
AUCCUAACACAGCCUAAGCUGGCGCUACACGCGCCGGCGCGGGGGACCCAAAUCCCUGGCAGUACGCAGGGACGGGGCGCAGACAGCGGCAAACCCGUUGUCAGGCCACUUCCACGGCCCAGCCCGACAGCUAACCUCGUAGGCAUUUGGAAGGGUGAUC